This 429-nucleotide ribosomal RNA is filed under the name Acidobacteriota bacterium. RNAcentral's name for it is "Acidobacteria bacterium partial 16S ribosomal RNA". It matches the Rfam family "Bacterial small subunit ribosomal RNA", at positions 355 to 776 of the family's 1533-position model. The record is from RNAcentral. Lineage: Bacteria; Pseudomonadati; Acidobacteriota.
UGGGGAAUUUUGGACAAUGGGGGCAACCCUGAUCCAGCAAUGCCGCGUGUGUGAAGAAGGCCUUCGGGUUGUAAAGCACUUUUGUCCGGGAAGAAAUCGCACCUGAUAAUACCGGGUGUGGAUGACGGUACCGGAAGAAUAAGGACCGGCUAACUACGUGCCCGCAGCCGCGGUAAUACGUAGGGUCCAAGCGUUAAUCGGAAUUACUGGGCGUAAAUCGUGCGCAGGCGGUUGUGCAAGACCGAUGUGAAAUCCCCGGGCUUAACCUGGGAAUUGCAUGGGUGACUGCACGGCUAGAGUGUGUCAGAGGGGGGUAGAAUUCCACGUGUAGCAGUGAAAUGCGUAGAGAUGUGGAGGAAUACCGAUGGCGAAGGCAGCCCCCUGGGAUAACACUGACGCUCAUGCACGAAAGCGUGGGGAGCAAACAGG